Molecule: unclassified non-coding RNA, 332 nt
Filed under: soil metagenome
Description: partial contains 5.8S ribosomal RNA, internal transcribed spacer 2, and large subunit ribosomal RNA
Rfam family: 5.8S ribosomal RNA (bases 1-120)
Source: RNAcentral
GAUGAAGAACGUAGCAAAAUGCGAUAAGUAAUGUGAAUUGCAGAAUUCAGUGAAUCAUCGAAUCUUUGAACGCACAUUGCGCCCGCCAGUAUUCUGGCGGGCAUGCCUGUUCGAGCGUCAUUUCAACCCUCAAGCACAGCUUGGUGUUGGGACUCGCGUUAAUUCGCGUUCCCCAAAUUGAUUGGCGGUCACGUCGAGCUUCCAUAGCGUAGUAGUAAAACCCUCGUUACUGGUAAUCGUCGCGGCCACGCCGUUAAACCCCAACUUCUGAAUGUUGACCUCGGAGCAGGUAGGAAUACCCGCUGAACUUAAGCAUAUCAAUAAGCGGAGGA